Molecule: long non-coding RNA, 715 nt
Organism: Gadus macrocephalus (Pacific cod)
Lineage: Eukaryota; Metazoa; Chordata; Actinopteri; Gadiformes; Gadidae
Exons: 6
Source: RefSeq, a predicted model, not a curated record
AGGACUGAUUGAGGAGAGCCGACGGAGCCAUGGUGGACGAGAGCCGACGGAGCCAUGGUGGACGAGAGCCGACGGCGCCAUGGUGGACGAGAGCCGACGGAGCCAUGGUGGACGGAGGCCCUGCCUUAAGAAUGAUGUCGGGACCCGAUGCCCUUGGCUGAUGGAGGAACUGCAUCUGGAGGACGACCAUGAAUCUACCUGCCAACAGGUGGUACUGGUUUGCACUGGUUUGCAUGAACUGAACAUGGUGGACAUGAGGCAAAUUCCCUGCUUUUUGCUCCAGACCAGGACUCUGUGAUGGAGGGGUGGUGAUGGAGCCGUGCUGAGGACCUGCUGGUGAAGGACGUCCCUCGGUGGGGGGGCAAGGACAGCCGACCCUGAGGAUCCGCUCGGAUCUACGAUCGCUACGAUGCGACUGCAGAGGUCUCUGGAAGACCAGGAGUCCUUGCCUGAGGAGAGCUGAUGGAGGAGCCGUGCACCUGGAGAACCAUGAGUCUGCCUGCCAACAAGUAGUACUGGAAGGCGGGGCAUAGGGAGGUGAUGGAGGACCUGCCUGGUGAAGGACGUCAGGGUGGGGCGAGUGACACCCGACUCCAAGGGGAUAUCCACUGAGGAGAGAGCUGAAGGAGCCAUGCAUCUGGAAGUUGAAAUGCUGUGUCCAGUCUGGGACACACACCUGAGCUGCAUCAAACCUGUAUCUCUGACCAGCUGGAGU